Long non-coding RNA from Fukomys damarensis (Damara mole-rat), 515 nucleotides. RefSeq lists it as uncharacterized. Lineage: Eukaryota; Metazoa; Chordata; Mammalia; Rodentia; Bathyergidae. The transcript has 3 exons. The record is from RefSeq and is a predicted model, not a curated record.
CCUGCCUACGGCUAUUAAAGACACACCCCGAUGCCAGAGAUCUCAAAAUAUGAAAAACCGGCCCCUUAGGAUCACUGAAACAUGGCGAGGGCACUGCCUUUAAGGGGACCAUCGUGCUUGUGAACAUUUCCUCUUGAGGUCUUGAUAAUUAAGCCUCUUGCAGCAGCUGGGCCUGCGUUCCUCCUGGCCAGCACCCCUCUAGUUAUCUCAGCCCUGACAGGGGCGUCUGCCCACCCCUGGAAGGUGUUACCUGGUGUUGCUGCGCCUGGUCCCACCCUGCACAAGAAAAUCGAGCCAAGCCAGGACCAAAGCAUUGCUGCCCACGGCCUGGACCUGGGCUCCUUUCCUCUGGGAAGGAGAUGGCGGCUCCUCACCACACGGAAAGUUGCGGAAGUGGGCUUUUCUUCUCUCAUUUCACUUUUGGAAUGGCUGCCAUAACAAAGUGCUACAGCUGGGAGACUCAGAAGAGCAGAAAUUUAUCCUCUCAUAAUUCUGGAGGCCAAAAGUCCAAAGUC